Molecule: ribosomal RNA, 448 nt
Filed under: uncultured organism
Description: partial 16S ribosomal RNA
Rfam family: Bacterial small subunit ribosomal RNA
Source: RNAcentral
ACACUCCUACGGGAGGCAGCAGUGGGGAAUAUUGGACAAUGGGCGCAAGCCUGAUCCAGCCAUGCCGCGUGAGUGAUGAAGGCCCUAGGGUUGUAAAGCUCUUUCACCGGUGAAGAUAAUGACGGUAACCGGAGAAGAAGCCCCGGCUAACUUCGUGCCAGCAGCCGCGGUAAUACGAAGGGGGCUAGCGUUGUUCGGAUUUACUGGGCGUAAAGCGCACGUAGGCGGACUAUUAAGUCAGGGGUGAAAUCCCGGGGCUCAACCCCGGAACUGCCUUUGAUACUGGUAGUCUUGAGUUCGAGAGGGGUGAGUGGAAUUCCGAGUGUAGAGGUGAAAUUCGUAGAUAUUCGGAGGAACACCAGUGGCGAAGGCGGCUCACUGGCUCGAUACUGACGCUGAGGUGCGAAAGCGUGGGGAGCAAACAGGAUUAGAAACCCUAGUAGUCCCA